CUCAUCCAAAAUGUCCUGGAAAAACAAAAGAAAUGAAGAGUAUCUGUCUAUGCCACAACAAAGAAUCAAAUGUGCAAUCUCAAAAUGGGGCCGCUCAGCCUCAAGAGGACUGCGUGGCGUUUCCCGUCAGCCAGCUGGAUAUUGUUGAAGAUCACAGAGUUUAACCUUCCAUCACUCCUCAAAUAACGGAGGGCAGCUAGU
Gavialis gangeticus (Gharial) is the source of this 201-nucleotide long non-coding RNA. RefSeq lists it as uncharacterized. Lineage: Eukaryota; Metazoa; Chordata; Crocodylia; Gavialidae. The transcript has 2 exons. The record is from RefSeq and is a predicted model, not a curated record.